Molecule: long non-coding RNA, 990 nt
Filed under: Equus asinus (donkey)
Lineage: Eukaryota; Metazoa; Chordata; Mammalia; Perissodactyla; Equidae
Description: lncRNA (ENSEASG00005032448.1)
Source: RNAcentral
GAUGUCAAAUGGAUACAGGAGACGACUGAAAGAUCUCCCAACGGCCACAGCUGGAAGAACAGGAGCAAAUUAAACAAAAUGAAGUAGUAUUGGAUUAUAAGCCAAAGUAUAAAAUAGAUAUAUCCAUACUGAUACAAAUGAUUGAAUAAAUAGAAAAUAGACAAAUCUCCUGAACAGAAAAUAUUAAAAGAAUUUAUGUAAAUACUCCACCUUUAAGAGGUGCAGUGUAACUUCCACUCCUUAAGUCUGGGUUACACAUAGUGACUUUCUUCCAAAGUGUACGUAGUGUGAAAAGGAGAAAAAAAGAGAAGAAUUUCAUGGUGGAGAAGCCGAGUGAUCAGGUUCACACCAACAGCGAGAAGUCAUAUUGAUAGUAGGUACUGCUGAUAGGAUGUGAUGUGAUGGGAACGGGGCUUUACCUCAGUGGACCUCCUCCCGUGAGCACAUCACUUCCGUCUAAUCACGAGAAAAUCCCAAUGGAGGGACAUUCUACAAAAUACCUGACCAGUAAUCCUCAAACUGUCUAGGUCAUAAAGAAGCAAGGAAAGUCUAAGGAACUGUCACAACCAAGAGCAGUCUAAGGAGACGUGAGUGUAACGUGGUGUCCUGGAUGGGAUCCUGGAAAAGAAAAAGAACAUUAGGAAAAAACUGAGGCAAUCUGAAUAAAGACCCUCCUGCACUCCUGUGGUUGGACUACUUCUGCCAUCCCAGUGGUUACACUCUAUUGGGCAAAGAAUUGAGACAAGGAUCCCAGAAAUCACGGACUACAAGCUGUUGUACCAUUUUGCUACUGUAAUAGAAGGAAACCACCAGAGCCCGGGCUCAACCUAGAGUCACGGAGGAAACGGGGUAAGAGCCAGGCACAUCUGCGCCUCGCGGAGCGGCAAGCCCUACUGUCUGCAGCAUCCCUUCCGGCGCUUACGUGCUCCAGGCACACCUGGAGGGAGCCGGCACUGCCACGGCGGCUGGAGCCGGGAGACCAGUCCCGCG